GUGAAUCAUCGAAUCUUUGAACGCAUAUGGCACCUUUUGGUUCUUACUAAAAGGUAUGCCUGUUUGAGAAUCAUUUCUACAUUUUCCAUUCUUGGACACUUUUGAUUGCAGGGCUAACUCUCAAUGGGUCAGCUUUCAAUUGAAUGACCAAGGGUGUGGAUACAUGGACCUUCAUCACUGAUCGUCUUGAAUUCAUGCACGGGACUGUUCGUGGUAUACAGAAUGUGAUGAUUGGUAGGAGUGUAUGCUCCCCCCCCCGUCUUCUACUUUGUGAUCGAUCAGUUCCCCCUUCUUUUUAUG
This 300-nucleotide unclassified non-coding RNA is filed under the name uncultured fungus. RNAcentral's name for it is "sequence contains 5.8S rRNA gene, ITS2". The stretch from base 1 to 73 matches the Rfam family "5.8S ribosomal RNA", at positions 84 to 154 of the family's 154-position model. Lineage: Eukaryota; Fungi. The record is from RNAcentral.